Molecule: unclassified non-coding RNA, 20 nt
Filed under: Mus musculus (house mouse)
Lineage: Eukaryota; Metazoa; Chordata; Mammalia; Rodentia; Muridae
Description: oocyte_clustered_small_RNA11617
Source: RNAcentral
CGCUGGAGAUGACUCUGGAG